Molecule: transfer RNA, 73 nt
Filed under: Candidatus Tremblayella princeps
Lineage: Bacteria; Pseudomonadati; Pseudomonadota; Betaproteobacteria
Description: Candidatus Tremblaya princeps tRNA-Gly(GCC)
Rfam family: tRNA
About the family: Transfer RNA (tRNA) molecules are approximately 80 nucleotides in length. Their secondary structure includes four short double-helical elements and three loops (D, anti-codon, and T loops).
Source: RNAcentral
GCGGAAGGAGCUCAGUAGGCAGAGCGUAACGAUGCCAAGGUUAAGGUAGCGAGUUAGAUUCUCGUCUUCCGCU